GGUUAAGCGACUAAGCGUACACGGUGGAUGCCCUGGCAGUCAGAGGCGAUGAAGGGCGUGCUAAUCUGCGAUAAGCGCCGGUAAGGUGAUAUGAACCGUUAUAACCGGCGAUACCCGAAUGGGGAAACCCAGUGUGAUUCGUCACACUAUCAUUAACUGAAUCCAUAGGUUAAUGAGGCGAACCGGGGGAACUGAAACAUCUAAGUACCCCGAGGAAAAGAAAUCAACCGAGAUUCCCCCAGUAGCGGCGAGCGAACGGGGAGGAGCCCAGAGCCUGAAUCAGCAUGUGUGUUAGUGGAAGCGUCUGGAAAGGCGCGCGAUACAGGGUGACAGCCCCGUACACAAAAGCGCAUGUGUUGUGAGCUCGAUGAGUAGGGCGGGACACGUGGUAUCCUGUCUGAAUAUGGGGGGACCAUCCUCCAAGGCUAAAUACUCCUGACUGACCGAUAGUGAACCAGUACCGUGAGGGAAAGGCGAAAAGAACCCCGGCGAGGGGAGUGAAAAAGAACCUGAAACCGUGUACGUACAAGCAGUGGGAGCACCCUUUGGGGUGUGACUGCGUACCUUUUGUAUAAUGGGUCAGCGACUUAUAUUCUGUAGCAAG
Molecule: ribosomal RNA, 604 nt
Filed under: Salmonella enterica
Lineage: Bacteria; Pseudomonadati; Pseudomonadota; Gammaproteobacteria; Enterobacterales; Enterobacteriaceae
Description: partial 23S ribosomal RNA
Rfam family: Bacterial large subunit ribosomal RNA
Source: RNAcentral